AUUAGAGUGUUCAAAGCAGGCAGAUCCAAUUUUCUGCCACCGAAUACAUUAGCAUGGGAUAAUGGAAUAGGACCCUGUCCUCCUAUUUUCAGUUGGUUUUGGCAGCGCGAGGACUAGGGUAAUGAUUAAUAGGGAUAGUUGGGGGCAUUAAUAUUUAAUUGUCAGAGGUGAAAUUCUUGGAUUUAUGAAAGAUUAACUUCUGCGAAAGCAUCUGCCAAGGAUGUUUUCAUUAAUCAAGAACGAAAGUUAGGGGAUCGAAGACGAUCAGAUACCGUCGUAGUCUUAACCAUAAACGAUGCCGACCAGCGAUUAGGAGACGUUGAAUACAAAACACCACCAUCGGCGCGGUCGUCCUUGGCGUCGGUCUUUCGGGGCCGGCGCGGGGGCGGCUUAGCCCGGUGGCACCGGUGAAUGACUCCCCUAGCAGCUUGUG
This 433-nucleotide ribosomal RNA is filed under the name Acanthamoeba sp. RNAcentral describes it as "SSU rRNA". It matches the Rfam family "Eukaryotic small subunit ribosomal RNA", at positions 765 to 1092 of the family's 1831-position model. Lineage: Eukaryota; Discosea; Longamoebia; Acanthamoebidae. The record is from RNAcentral.